This 628-nucleotide ribosomal RNA is filed under the name Thermomyces sp. FLN3f. Its description in RNAcentral is "eukaryotic LSU rRNA". The stretch from base 242 to 395 matches the Rfam family "5.8S ribosomal RNA". Lineage: Eukaryota; Fungi; Ascomycota; Eurotiomycetes; Eurotiales; Trichocomaceae. The record is from RNAcentral.
UCCGUAGGGUGAACCUUGCGGAAGGAUCAUUACCGAGUGCGGGAACCCAGUCGGGUCCCAAUCUCCCACCCGUGUCUACCACACCUAGUGUUGCUUUGGCGGGCCCACUCCUCCGGUGUUCCGCCGGGGGGGUCGUCCCGGGGCGCGGUGUGCCCCCGGGGCCCGUGCCCGCCAGAGGCACUCACUGUGAACGCUUUUGUGAAUGCGAGGAUUGUCUGAGUGACGAAAUGCAAUCGUUCAAAACUUUCAACAAUGGAUCUCUUGGUUCCGGCAUCGAUGAAGAACGCAGCGAAAUGCGAUAAGUAAUGUGAAUUGCAGAAUUCCGUGAAUCAUCGAAUCUUUGAACGCACAUUGCGCCCUCUGGUAUUCCGGGGGGCAUGCCUGUCCGAGCGUCAUUGCGAACCCUCAAGCACGGCUUGUGUGUUGGGCCGCCGUCCCCUCGUUUGGAGGGGACGGGCCUGAAAGGCAGCGGCGGCGUCGCGUCCGGUCCUCGAGCGUAUGGGGCUCUGUCACGCGCUCAAGGAGGGGUCCGGCCGGGGCCAUAGCCUCUGAAGGUCAAUUCUUCCAAGGUUGACCUCGGAUCAGGUAGGAGUACCCGCUGAACUUAAGCAUAUCAAUAAGCGGAGGA